This 250-nucleotide ribosomal RNA is filed under the name uncultured prokaryote. Its description in RNAcentral is "partial 16S ribosomal RNA". It matches the Rfam family "Bacterial small subunit ribosomal RNA", at positions 524 to 774 of the family's 1533-position model. The record is from RNAcentral.
UACGGAAGGUCCGGGCGUUAUCCGGAUUUAUUGGGUUUAAAGGGAGCGCAGGCUGGCUUUUAAGCGUGACGUAAAAUGUGGAUGCUCAACAUCCGAGCUGCGUCGCGAACUGGAGGCCUUGAGUGAGUACGACGGAGGCAGAAUUCGUGGUGUAGCGGUGAAAUGCUUAGAUAUCACGAAGAACCCCGAUUGCGAAGGCAGCCUCCGAGUCCUUUACUGACGCUAAGCUCGAAAGUGCGGGUAUCGAACA